This 253-nucleotide ribosomal RNA is filed under the name uncultured bacterium. RNAcentral's name for it is "partial 16S ribosomal RNA". It matches the Rfam family "Bacterial small subunit ribosomal RNA", at positions 524 to 776 of the family's 1533-position model. The record is from RNAcentral.
UACGUAGGGUGCGAGCGUUAAUCGGAAUUACUGGGCGUAAAGCGUGCGCAGGCGGUUUUGUAAGCCAGAUGUGAAAUCCCCGGGCUUAACCUGGGAAUGGCAUUUGGGACUGCAAGGCUCGAGUCCGGAAGAGGCGAGUGGAAUUCCCGGUGUAGCGGUGAAAUGCGCAGAUAUCGGGAGGAACACCAAUGGCGAAGGCAGCUCGCUGGGACGGUACUGACGCUGAGACGCGAAAGCGUGGGGAGCAAACAGG